GAUGAACGCUGGCGGCGUGCCUAAUACAUGCAAGUCGAGCGAACAGACGAGGAGCUUGCUCCUCUGACGUUAGCGGCGGACGGGUGAGUAACACGUGGAUAACCUACCUAUAAGACUGGGAUAACUUCGGGAAACCGGAGCUAAUACCGGAUAAUAUAUUGAACCGCAUGGUUCAAUAGUGAAAGACGGUUUUGCUGUCACUUAUAGAUGGAUCCGCGCCGCAUUAGCUAGUUGGUAAGGUAACGGCUUACCAAGGCAACGAUGCGUAGCCGACCUGAGAGGGUGAUCGGCUACACUGGAACUGAGACACGGUCCAGACUCCUACGGGAGGCAGCAGUAGGGAAUCUUCCGCAAUGGGCGAAAGCCUGACGGAGCAACGCCGCGUGAGUGAUGAAGGUCUUCGGAUCGUAAAACUCUGUUAUUAGGGAAGAACAAAUGUGUAAGUAACUAUGCACGUCUUGACGGUACCUAAUCGGAAAGCCACGGCUAACUACGU
RNAcentral lists this ribosomal RNA (496 nucleotides) under uncultured bacterium. RNAcentral describes it as "partial 16S ribosomal RNA". It matches the Rfam family "Bacterial small subunit ribosomal RNA", at positions 28 to 506 of the family's 1533-position model. The record is from RNAcentral.